GACGAACGCUGGCGGCGUGCUUAACACAUGCAAGUCGAACGGAAAGGCCCUGCUUUUGUGGGGUGCUCGAGUGGCGAACGGGUGAGUAACACGUGAGUAACCUGCCCUUGACUUUGGGAUAACUUCAGGAAACUGGGGCUAAUACCGGAUAGGAGCUCCUGCUGCAUGGUGGGGGUUGGAAAGUUUCGGCGGUUGGGGAUGGACUCGCGGCUUAUCAGCUUGUUGGUGGGGUAGUGGCUUACCAAGGCUUUGACGGGUAGCCGGCCUGAGAGGGUGACCGGGAAAAGUGGGAAGGAGGAGAGGGCAAGACGGCAGCGGGAGGAAGCAGGGGGGAAUAGUGGAGAAGGGGCGGAGGGCUGAAGCAGCAAUGCCGAGUGGGGGAUGAGGGAGGGCGGGUAGGAAAACGAGUACGCCUGUGAAGAAGCGUGAGAGAAGGUAAAGGGUAAAGAAGCACCAACUAACUAAGUG
This 468-nucleotide ribosomal RNA is filed under the name uncultured bacterium. Its description in RNAcentral is "partial 16S ribosomal RNA". It matches the Rfam family "Bacterial small subunit ribosomal RNA", at positions 28 to 507 of the family's 1533-position model. The record is from RNAcentral.